RNAcentral lists this ribosomal RNA (307 nucleotides) under uncultured Latescibacterota bacterium. Its description in RNAcentral is "bacterial SSU rRNA". It matches the Rfam family "Bacterial small subunit ribosomal RNA", at positions 1077 to 1382 of the family's 1533-position model. The record is from RNAcentral. Lineage: Bacteria; Pseudomonadati; Candidatus Latescibacterota.
GGGUUAAGUCCCGCAACGAGCGCAACCCUUAUCCCUAGUUGCCAUCAGGUAAAGCUGGGAACUCUGGGGAGACUGCCGGUGAGUAAACCGGAGGAAGGCGGGGAUGACGUCAAGUCCUCAUGGCCCUUACAUCCCGGGCUACACACGUGCUACAAUGGCAGGUACAGAGGGCUGCGAAGCCGCGAGGUGGAGCGAAUCCCAGAAAACCUGUCUCAGUCCGGAUUGAAGUCUGCAACUCGACUUCAUGAAGGCGGAAUCGCUAGUAACCGCGAAUCAGCAGGUCGCGGUGAAUACGUUCCCGGGCCUU